UCUGCAGAUCCUGGUCCUAAUA
RNAcentral lists this microRNA (22 nucleotides) under Macaca mulatta (Rhesus monkey). RNAcentral's name for it is "mml-miR-7185-3p". The record is from miRBase by way of RNAcentral. Lineage: Eukaryota; Metazoa; Chordata; Mammalia; Primates; Cercopithecidae.